This 3157-nucleotide long non-coding RNA is filed under the name Marmota monax (woodchuck). The record is from RNAcentral. Lineage: Eukaryota; Metazoa; Chordata; Mammalia; Rodentia; Sciuridae.
CUCGGUAUGUGUUUGAACAGUUUGCUUGUUUAGGUGAUUUGAUGGCUUUCCUAAAAUAGGUUCACAAAUUGGUAUUUACUUUUGUUUACUCAGAAAGAUAACAUUUCUUAAAUUAUUUCUUGGAGAGUGCAAGAGGGUGUAUUUGUAGUAUUUAUAACAUGUUAAAAAGUGGCAUUUAUAUUAGUUUAGACUAGUGUUGCUGUUUCAGAAAGUUAUUUAAAGUAGUUGAAUUUUACAUGAGUUCACAUCAAUCAUAACAUGAACAUUAGUUAUUCAGCAUUUUAGAAUGAUUAUGUGUUUAUACACACACACACACACACACACAAAUUGUGUGUAAAUGUGAGGAUUGAUAUGUGUAGUCUGCAGAGAUAUAAAGAAUCUUUCUGGAAAGUAACAUCAAAGUGAACUCAACAUGAUUUGAGUUUCUGCAGAAUUAGGAUGAGAAACUGAAAACAAAAUGUCUUCUGAUUAACUAUGGAUAAUUUCUCCUAAUGAAUUAAAAUACAUAUUGGUGCUGCCUUUAAAAAAAUAUCUAUCAUAUACAGAUAUCAGCAUAAUCCUAGUUAAAACACCCCUACAUGGCUUUACUAUCUGUUGGGUAGAUAAUCAACAGUGAAGGCUAAAUACAUUAGAGAGGUAUCAUAGCUCCAAAUGCCUAGUGAUGCUCAGUGAUCAUUCUAAUAUGAUGUUAUGAAAGGUUAUUUGAAUUGAUGUCUAUAUUAAAUGUAACAGGUUUUGACAAUUCCAGUUUAGAUACUGUUACAUUAUAAAUAUCUUUUCUUUUUGACAUAUGGUCUUGAUACUAGGUUUCAAGUUAUUAAUAUCACGUUCCUUACAGAUAAAACUGCCAUCAAUCAACUAAUCAAUUUUAACUAGAGUGAAAAUUCUCCAAUUGGAAUUUAGGAAUACUUAAGGCUUUAUGCCUUAUGUUGCAUAAAACAAAACAGCAGAAUUCCACAUAAUGACCAAAAUUAUUUUAAAGAAUAAAUGGUUAGAUUGAGUAGUAUAUGGAUAAAUACUUCAUACAAAUUCAAGAAAUGUAAAAUCAAAAUUCAUGAAAGCUGAUUAUGAAAUCUCCUAACCUAUCAAAGCCAAAGAUCACGAUCUUAACACCUUACAAUGUCUCCUUACAAUAUUUUCCCUCAGAGAAGGGCAAUAUUAUGUCAUCAACUAAAGCAAGUGAAAUCUAUCCUUCAUAUCCAAUCCAGAAGUGAGUUUUUUCAACUAUAUUUCUUGAUAUUUCUGCGAUACAUUUAGUUAUUUCCUUUCUGAUCAGUACUACCUGGAUUCAAACUUCCAUCAUUUCUGCCAUAACCUCUUACAUGGUCGACCCGCACUAUUUUUAUCUUUUGCCAAAUAGAUAUUCUUUACAGAGUAGUCAUAAUCAUCUUUAUAAAGCACUAGUCUAAUGAUCCUCCACUGUGAACACACACACACACACACACACACACAUUUUACCUAACUACAUUAAUAUAGGUUUUACAUACUACAUUGUAUACUACUUGAAGUCAGAAGUCAGGCUUUGAUCAACAUUCCAUACCCAGCCUCUGACAAUAUUGAUGCAUAUUUGUCACAUGCUUGACAAUGGUUCUUUGGCCAGUGAUGGUCACUAACUCAAGAAAUGUUAUAUUUCAUUAGGAAGAAUUAAGCAAUCAAGUAUUUCAAUACAAAAAAAAAAGAAAGAGAAUAUUAUACAGUAGGGAUAAAUGCUGUGAAGGCAAUAAAACAAUGAGUUUUGUUGAAGAUUAUGACAGGGCAAAAGUGAAGGGAGGGCUGCUUUCACUGAUGUAGUUAGAAAAGGACUGGUGAGACCAUGUUAUUGGGCUGAAAUCAUGAAAGAGUCUGAGAAGCAGCCAGUUUUGUGAAGAUCCUCUGGGCAGAAAACAGGGUAAUUUACCACUGUCUCAUGGUGUCUCCACUUUCCUGCUAGACUGUUGUAAGAGACAGCCACUUUGGGAGGGUUCAUCAUUUUCUAUGUGGAGUACAAAUUGUUGAUAUUGUUUGUUUUUAACUAAGUCCAGGAUAAAAAAUGGUGGUGUUUGGGAGUUAUGCGCUCUCCCCUUACAAUCCCUAAAGGUGAUUAUGAAUUGUCCAAAAUCACAGUGCAUGCCAUCAUGCAUAGAGAGUAAUCUCCCAUCUCUUGGAGUUCUUAGGAGGACUGAGUCCCGUGGAGCAUGGCCUCACAGCUGUCUCCUGUUCUUGAAAUAAUUCUCAAACCAACAAAGUAGAUAAGUUUUACCCUGUCAUUGCCUUCCCACCUCGAGUACCAGAUGGGUGAAUGCACUGCUAUUGUUUGAAAAAUUCUUCUUUAAUUUUUUUAAUGAUCUUCCUAGAACUAUUUUUAUAUUCAAGAUUUAGAAAAAAAAGGAGUGCAUCCUCUGACUCAAUAAAUUACAAAGAACAUAUUUCAGUUCUGGUGUUGGAAAAACUUUUCCCACUAAAGUAUAAUUUUGGUUCUCAAAAGAUUAAAUAAGAUAAAAGCAUCUGAUGUUUUUCUAAUGAGGGGUUUCAAAAAUGGCUUUUAUACAAUAUUUAAAUAUAGUUAAUUAAAUUUACGAUAAUAAAACAUUUAUUUCAUUUAUUCAGAAAAAAAUGAAUUUUGUUAUAGAUUUCUCUAAGUAUUUUAGAUAGAAUGGCUUUACUUCAUCAUUUUCAAUCAGGUGUAUUAGAGUUUGUUUCCCUCCUGGUUGUAAGCCAAAAAUAUAUUAAAUCCUUUGCACUCUAGUAAUUAUUUAAUUAAUAGUCAAUUGGAAUGUAAACUUCAUAAAUAAAUUGCAAACUUCAUAAAUUCUUUCAUAUGCCUUCCAGAGGUUUUCAAAUUAAUGAAUGAGAAAUUGGCUGAAUUAUCAUUUGUAUGUCCACUUGCUGCAAAGAAUAGGAUUUUGAAAUUCUUUUGCAAGGAAGAAUGAUAUUUUAUUUUCAAUAAACUACCUUUGAAAAUAUUUGUGUGAUCUUAAGAAGCACCUUUAGGGAGAUACUUGAAUGUAAAUUUCAAACUAAAUUUCAUUUUGAAAAAAAAAACAGAGAAAACUAUUAAACUGCUCAUUUUACUUUGCAGUGUUUUCAUCCUACUUGGAUUUUACAUACCCAUUUAUUUUCUGUUACUGCUGGUCCUACUUAAAAUUCUGGAAGUAGGCCAUAUUGUUCUUUAUUGUCA